UGUUGUUGUGCUCAAGCCGUGUUGUUGUGGCAGUUAGAGCCACACGAAACCAGUAAUGACUUGUGGCGCGGAGGGGAGCGCGCGAAGGCAGGGCGACACCCGGUGUGAGAAUCAGCACGCGCCCCCCUGCUCGGCGUCCCGCCUCGCAGCAACGAGGCUCGUGCUCUAAUGAGAGGGAUUUAAUGGAUUUAUAGCGGCUGAGGAUUCCUGUGUGUCCGCAUGCGCUUGGCUUCGCCGAUUAGAAACGUCUGCAGUAAUUGUUGAGCUGCCUCCACGUUCACAGGACCCACAGAGAGAAAAAGUGCAUCUCCUUUCCACUGCGUUCCCACGGCCACGAUGAAAACAGGCAGUGUGAUGGCGCUGCAGCAGAGAGAGAAAGAUCUGGGUGACCAUCUGAAACCAAUUAUGGCGGUGCUGCAGCCACCCAGAAACUCAGUGACGGAUGGGGAUCUUGUAUUUAUAGCUGGGACAGGGGAGCUGAGUGCCAGAAGAAACAUUCAGCAAAGGAGAAAUGAGAGAUAGAAACAGAAAGACAGUGGAGUUGGAGGUAGGAGGGUAAUAUUUCAUGAAACGCUGCUGGUAUUAGUGUUAACCUGCGACCUGCUGUAUUCCUGCAUAUAGAACACAAGCAUUUGUCCUUGUUUUUAGUUGAGUCAUAGAGUUGAGGAUCAGGACUGCAAACGGGCAGCACUGGUUGAUGAAUGAGUCUCAGAUGUUCAGCGCUUUCACAAAACAGUAAGAGCUUAAAUUCCUUCACUAGGAGGAAAGUGAAAGAUUGCUCUGGAUAACUGAAAUUCCUCACGGUACCAUUCCUUAGAUUCCCUCUCAACAAAUAAGGCGCAUAAGGAACAGUUGCUGUCAGCAUUCCUUGGAUUGUCCAUUUGUGCCUGCAUGUAUGUUCCUUUACAUGCUUAUGUGCAUUGCAGGAAUUUCUGGCCACGCCAAAGGACGAUAAUGCCUAACAGUUGCUUGUGUUGGGUUGUUGUCUCAUAUUUUCUUGGACAUUCCACCCGACUCCUCAUCUUCCUCCUUUCUGUGUCACUCCUCCACACAGCCUUCACUCCCAUGGUGUCCCCCCACCCCCACCCCCCAUCUCACAUAACAUUUGUAUGCAAUCCUUGGAAGCCACAGCUUAUGAAAACUUUCACCUCGCAUUAAUUACGCUCUGUCUUACUGAAAUGCCUAAAAGGUGAGGUAGAUUAUAUCUUUAAGCGUAGCCUACUCACUCAACAAGAAUUGCAUUAUUUAGUCAUCACAGCCUUUGACAGCCUUUUUUCACUCUGAUCUGUUUCAUUUGUCCUCUUCUGGCUGGCCGCCCUCCUUCCCUGCAUUCCUCCCACCCAUCUCCUGUGAAGCUGCCUGCCUUUUUUGCUCACUGAAUGGAAAGAGCAGUCUGCAUUUAGCCGCCUCACGCUUUUUACGGCAGCAGUGAUUUUGCUUCUUGCUACCCUCUCUGCCAUGUCAUGAUGAUGUGAUUUCUUGACACAGGCGUCACUCUGCCAUUUGAAACCCCAGACCUGAAUGUGAACCUGCUGAAGAAGUGGUGGCGUAUGGCCUGGGUAAACACAGUGCGUGGGGGGAACCAGGGACACAACCUGUAGGUCUUAAAUGUGAAGGAAAAACAUCCAAUAACUGGGCCUGUGGGGAGCGAGCGAGGCCAGGGCUAACUUGAGCACAGGCCCGUCAAGAGCAGGCAUAGAAGUGAAGUUGGAUCACAGCAGAUCCAAGGGGUAUAUAGGUAACAGGCGGGAUUUGGAUCUGGGUCUUGCAAACAGGAAAUCAUUUUCCAGGGGGCAGUAUCCCCUUUGCAAGGCAGGAAAGUUUAAUUCACUUCUAAGUCAACUUACCAAGUAGAAUUUCUUAAAAAUAAAAGCUGAAAAUAGCCAUAAAAUUGCUGCAGUAACCUGUAGAGAAGUGAUUGGGGAUUAAGUGUGUUUACCAUUUAAUGAAUUGCAGUUUUGAAUUACAUGUUAAACCGAGUAAACUGAGAGCAAAUUGACCUCAACUCUGCAAGUGAGACAUUUGAGCUUUACACGGACAUGCACUGCUACUUAUGUAUCCGCCAUCCAUCCUGUACAUUCGCCCUCUCUGAAGAGGUAUGGAUGUCGUGCUUCAUGCUUGUUUUACCUCUGUGACUCUUUGUUCCACUUUCAACUUUGACCGCUGGAGUUUUAAGCACAGUCCAGGCCAGCAGCAGGGGUUCAUGGGAGAAAAAAAAUCACACACAGAGAGAACAGUGUAUUCAGCACAGAGCUCGAGGUGUUAACAGUAGUUGUGUCUAUGUGAGGGAUAACACAGCCAGACUUGGGUCAAAUAUUGAGAAAUAAUUUUCAUUGCAUAUUUUCACCUGUGUGAAGUGACAGGUGGGAUACCGUAAUAACUCUGAUGGUAUCAGGAAGAACAUGCUUAAUUGAAUUUUAGGGACUGUGACAGCCUCCACACACUCUGCACCUGCAGAAUUAAUCUAUGUAAUAUAGACAAAAGUAUU
Scatophagus argus is the source of this 2488-nucleotide long non-coding RNA. RefSeq lists it as uncharacterized. Lineage: Eukaryota; Metazoa; Chordata; Actinopteri; Scatophagidae. The record is from RefSeq and is a predicted model, not a curated record. The transcript is spliced from 3 exons.